This 882-nucleotide ribosomal RNA is filed under the name Falciformispora tompkinsii. Its description in RNAcentral is "LSU rRNA". It matches the Rfam family "Eukaryotic large subunit ribosomal RNA", at positions 77 to 968 of the family's 3401-position model. The record is from RNAcentral. Lineage: Eukaryota; Fungi; Ascomycota; Dothideomycetes; Pleosporales; Trematosphaeriaceae.
GCCCUARUACGGCGAGUGAAGCGGCAACAGCUCAAAUUUGAAAUCUGGAUUCCUUUACUGGGUCCCGAGUUGUAAUUUGUAGAGGGUGCUUUGGUGUUGGCGGCGGUCUAAGUUCCUUGGAACAGGACGUCACAGAGGGUGAGAAUCCCGUACGUGGUCGCACUGCCUUCGCCGUGUAAAGCCCCUUCGACGAGUCGAGUUGUUUGGGAAUGCAGCUCUAAAUGGGAGGUAAAUUUCUUCUAAAGCUAAAUACUGGCCAGAGACCGAUAGCGCACAAGUAGAGUGAUCGAAAGAUGAAAAGCACUUUGGAAAGAGAGUCAAAUAGCACGUGAAAUUGUUGAAAGGGAAGCGCUUGCAGCCAGACUUGCCUGCGGUUGCUCAGCCGGGCCCCGCGCCCGGUGCACUCUUCCGCGGGCAGGCCAGCAUCAGUUUGGGCGGCUGGAGAAUGGCCUCUGUCAUGUACUGCCCUUCGGGGUAGCCUUAUAGGGGAGUCGUAAUGCAGUCAGCCUGGACUGAGGUCCGCGCUUCGGCGAGGAUGCUGGCGUAAUGGCCGUAAGCGGCCCGUCUUGAAACACGGACCAAGGAGUCUAACAUCUAUGCGAGUGUUUGGGUGUCAAGCCCGGGCGCGCAAUGAAAGUGAACGGAGGUGGGAACCCUCUUCUGGGGGGCGCACCAUCGACCGAUCCUGAUGUCUUCGGAUGGAUUUGAGUAAGAGCAUAGCUGUUGGGACCCGAAAGAUGGUGAACUAUGCUUGAAUAGGGUGAAGCCAGAGGAAACUCUGGUGGAAGCUCGCAGCGGUUCUGACGUGCAAAUCGAUCGUCAAUUUGGGCAUAGGGGCGAAAGACUAAUCGAACUAUCUAGUAGCUGGUUCCUGCCGAAGUU